CUGCCUGUAAGACUGGGAUAACUCCGGGAAACCGGAGCUAAUACCGGAUAGUUCCUUGAACCGCAUGGUUCAAGGAUGAAAGACGGUUUCGGCUGUCACUUACAGAUGGACCCGCGGCGCAUUAGCUAGUUGGUGGGGUAAUGGCUCACCAAGGCGACGAUGCGUAGCCGACCUGAGAGGGUGAUCGGCCACACUGGGACUGAGACACGGCCCAGACUCCUACGGGAGGCAGCAGUAGGGAAUCUUCCGCAAUGGACGAAAGUCUGACGGAGCAACGCCGCGUGAGUGAUGAAGGUUUUCGGAUCGUAAAGCUCUGUUGUUAGGGAAGAACAAGUGCGAGAGUAACUGCUCGCACCUUGACGGUACCUAACCAGAAAGCCACGGCUAACUACGUGCCAGCAGCCGCGGUAAUACGUAGGUGGCAAGCGUUGUCCGGAAUUAUUGGGCGUAAAGGGCUCGCAGGCGGUUUCUUAAGUCUGAUGUGAAAGCCCCCGGCUCAACCGGGGAGGGUCAUUGGAAACUGGGAAACUUGAGUGCAGAAGAGGAGAGUGGAAUUCCACGUGUAGCGGUGAAAUGCGUAGAGAUGUGGAGGAACACCAGUGGCGAAGGCGACUCUCUGGUCUGUAACUGACGCUGAGGAG
This 641-nucleotide ribosomal RNA is filed under the name Bacillus sp. (in: firmicutes). RNAcentral describes it as "bacterial SSU rRNA". It matches the Rfam family "Bacterial small subunit ribosomal RNA", at positions 126 to 753 of the family's 1533-position model. The record is from RNAcentral. Lineage: Bacteria; Bacillati; Bacillota; Bacilli; Caryophanales; Bacillaceae.